GGUAGUGUAGUUAAUAGCUGCAUUAUUUGACGUUUAGCGACAGAAGAAAGCACCGGCUAACUCCGUGCCAGCAGCCGCGGUAAUACGGAGGGUGCGAGCGUUAAUCGGAAUUACUGGGCGUAAAGACGCAUGCAGGUGGUUUGUUAAGUUCAGAUGUGAAAGACCCGGGGCGUCAACCUCCGGAAUUGCAUUUGUAAACUAGGCAGACUAGAGUACUGUAGAGGGGGGUAGGAAUUUCAGGUGUAGCGGUGAAAUAGCGUAGAGAUCUGAAGGAAUACCGGUGGCGAAGGCGGCCCCCUCGGACAGAUACUGACACUCAGAUGCGAAAGCGUGGGGAGCAAACAGGAUUAGAUACCCUGGUAG
RNAcentral lists this ribosomal RNA (363 nucleotides) under uncultured bacterium. Its description in RNAcentral is "bacterial SSU rRNA". It matches the Rfam family "Bacterial small subunit ribosomal RNA", at positions 443 to 793 of the family's 1533-position model. The record is from RNAcentral.